This is a non-coding RNA of Lolium perenne, 2382 nucleotides long. The record is from RefSeq and is a predicted model, not a curated record. Lineage: Eukaryota; Viridiplantae; Streptophyta; Magnoliopsida; Poales; Poaceae.
UGCGUGCUGUGGUCCUCACCACCACCGCGCCUCCACCUCCUUUUCCCCCUCUUAAAUCUCUCUCCAAGCCUCUCUGGAAAACCCUAGCCUUCCUCCCUCUAGUCGCCGCCGCCCACUCUCUUCUUCCCCACCUUUUUCCCCUUCUCUGUGAGCAAAGGAGAGCCACCCCGGCGCUCAGUUCCCCAUGGCGUCGCUGCUCCCACCUCCCCUCGCCGUUCUGAGGGCACCGUUAGAUGCGUCUCGUCAUCCUCUACAGCCUCGUCCAAGGAAUCGAGCCGAGAGCCUCCCAAUCGAGCGCAAGGUCGUCGUUUCUCAUCCAUGGCCGCCAUGCUCCGACGUCGAUUCUAGCCGCCCUCGUCCUCCUCCGGUCAAACCGAGCACACCCCUGGUUUCCCCGUGUUCAGGCGCACCCCCGACGCCCCGCGCUCGUCCCGGUUCGCUCCGAAUCGUGAGAUCCAUGGUCGACCUGAUCUCCGUUCGCCAUGGUUGUCUUGGUCAAGAGCUCUGCCUCGCCUACUUCACAAGUUGGUGCGGCCCAUCAUGUUCAACAUCAACACCAGCAGCACACUGAUCUUGCACGCAUAGAUGCUUCAGAUGCUUCAGUUCGUGUUGAUAUAUAACAGAUCAACAACAGCAGCUAGUGCAUCUGAUCUGCUUUUGGGCCUUGAUCCGUGUCUCUUCCGGUGCAGCCCAUCGCGUGUGCGGCCCGAAGCUAACCGUCGCCGCUCGCAGGCCAGAACUGGGCCGGCCCACGCGCGCCAUACAUUUCCUCCCGCCGGCCAGCAUUUUCUUCUUCCCGGAUAGGAUCACGAAGUGUUGAUGUGAGAUACAACGAGUUCUCCGACAAGUUCUUCUGCAGCUUUUCACAGGCGAGCCCUCUCUCUUCACCUAUUAUACACUCUCCCUCGCAUUGCUAUCCUUAUGUUGCGCUUCUUUAUCGAGUCACGUGUCCUAUUCCACUCGUUUACCAUGAUAAUCCUAUAUGUAUCAUUCCUUACCCAUAGCCGUUGCUUGAUGAUUGAGCCUUGCGAGUCGUAGGCAUGUUUAAGCUCUGUUGUUUAUCUCGAUCUGUUAUCGGGAUAUGUUGGGUUGUUGGGAGGUUAUCACAUGCUAUAUCAGUUGUUGGAGAUACACAUGCUUUACUUAAUUGUUAACAACUAAAAUUGUAAGCAGAGGCAUCUGUGAGCCCCUUUGCGAAAGCAUCGGAACUUUGACUUGCUAAUGUCCCCUAGGACCCGAGUUCUUGUUAUCUGUUCCGAGUUUGAGCGCUCUACCCGUACGUGGGGGAGUGGGACCCCCAUCACCCACUACCUUUCCUCGAGUCUGUUUAUUGGGAGCCACAACCUUGGUUUGAUUUGCCCAUAUGCACGAUGCACGAUUUACUUCCUGUUGUCUUCGGGUGUUUAUAUUAUGUAUUGUACUCAUAUUGCGUGCCGACUUAUCCUUGGCCGGUCGUUAGUGCCCGCCUUGGACGCCAUCGCAACCUCUGGGUCCGUAUCGGAGUACGGCCGAACUUCGUCACGGGUAGCUUAGUUGGGUGGCUCCCAUUAAACUUUCUCUUGCAUUGGGAACGGUCUUGUUGUUAGACUUCACCUGUAGUAAGUGGGGUCGAGCAUGCGUAUGGUUACAUUUGGGCAACCCCUGCAGGGUGUACAUCUUAUCGAUAAGCCGUGUCCGCGGUUAUGGACGACUUGGAAUUGUAUGGCUUGACCAUAGAACAACUUACACCUUAUACUUGUUGUUAAUAAUCUGAUAAUAAUUUGCGUAGUAAUAUAGCAUUACUACAACCGAUACCUAAUAAAACUUGUCCACCGUUGAGUGCCUUUUACAUUGCAUCUUCGCUUUGUUGAAGGGGAUAUGUGUAAUCGGCUGGGUUAUGUUCGUGUAGUAUUUAUCUGUUACCUUGUGCGCUCUCUUAUCUUCUCUGAGUAGACGGAUGUUGUAGCGUGUCUCUAUUGGUUAUAGUUUUGCUGCCGCUAAACCUACCAUAUAGCCCCAGGCGAUAUAUAUAUUCGCCCGGCGAGCAUAGCCAUUUCUAGUCUCGCUAAGUACGUGUCGGAGUUCGUUCCUUGGUACUUACUCUCGCCUUUUCCCUUUCUCUUUUGCUUCCUCCCUUUUGUCGGCAACCGAUGGCCCGACUUUGACAGGUACGAGAUGACGACGUUAGCAAGGUUACCCUUCCGGCUUGGCCUGGGCAGGGUUAUGGACGCCAUCGUUAUCUUCAGGACUCUUAGACCAAUUUGUAUCUUGUCCGUACUCGGACCUAUUCGAUCUUCUGUAUGAUUUGGAUCUUUGUAUUGUAUAUUUGUAUCUUGACUCGUUGGAGUCUUUGUUGUAAUAUAUGUAUCUUGUGGGCUCUAUUGUAAUCCUGUUGUAAUGUUA